RNAcentral lists this ribosomal RNA (510 nucleotides) under uncultured bacterium. Its description in RNAcentral is "bacterial SSU rRNA". It matches the Rfam family "Bacterial small subunit ribosomal RNA", at positions 8 to 507 of the family's 1533-position model. The record is from RNAcentral.
AGAGUUUGAUCAUGGCUCAGAGUGAACGCUGGCGGCAGGCCUAAUACAUGCAAGUCGAACGGCAGCACAGCAGAGCUUGCUCUGUGGGUGGCGAGUGGCGGACGGGUGAGGAGUACGUGGGAAUCUGCCCAGUCGUGGGGGAUAACGUAGGGAAACUUACGCUAAUACCGCAUGCGCCCUUCGGGGGAAAGCCGGGGACCUUCGGGCCUGGCGCGAUUGGAUGAGCCCACGUCGGAUUAGCUAGUUGGCAGGGUAAAGGCCCACCAAGGCGACGAUCCGUAGCUGGUCUGAGAGGAUGAUCAGCCACACUGGAACUGAGACACGGUCCAGACUCCUACGGGAGGCAGCAGUAGGGAAUAUUGGACAAUGGGCGCAAGCCUGAUCCAGCCAUGCCGCGUGAGUGAAGAAGGCCCUCGGGUUGUAAAGCUCUUUUGUCCGGAAAGAAAAGCGCCGGGUUAAUACCCUGGUGUCCUGACGGUACCGGAAGAAUAAGCACCGGCUAACUUCGUG